This is a non-coding RNA of Trichobilharzia regenti, 46 nucleotides long. NCBI's taxonomy places the organism in Eukaryota, Metazoa, Platyhelminthes, Trematoda, Strigeidida, Schistosomatidae. The record is from Rfam.
GUACUACUGAGGAGUCCAAAACUAGAAUGAAACAGCUGUCCAGUAC